Molecule: ribosomal RNA, 1146 nt
Filed under: Triticum aestivum (bread wheat)
Lineage: Eukaryota; Viridiplantae; Streptophyta; Magnoliopsida; Poales; Poaceae
Description: partial small subunit ribosomal RNA
Source: RNAcentral
AUGUGUACACAUAGGAUAAGAAAGAACUGGUACCACACGGAGGAUGAGAAAAGAACUGCUGGCUACUGUGUCGUCCGCCAUGGGCACGGGCUAGCGUAUCAUUGUCCGUGUUCCAUGAACAUGAGUGUCUCACACAAAAGCAAAAUGGGCAGCGAUCUAACACACACGAGAAAAAGACCGAGGCACUACUACCACGGGCAAGUCAUUAAGAAAACGAGAGCAAAGGUUCAGUUUGCAGACCUUCCUGAUGAUCUGCUGUCUAUGAUUCUAUCAAAAUUGCCACUGAAGGAAGCUGCAAGAACCGUUAUUCUGUCAAGUAAAUGGAACGACGUGUGGAGAGUUUGCCCCAAACUGAGAUUUGAUGGCUUCACAGUGUGCAGUGACAUCGUGUUUGGGGGAGAACAGUACACUCAGAAAUUCAUUGACAAUGUUAAUGCAGUCAUGCAGAAGCAUCAGUGCAUGGUCGUUGAAGAGCUCGUGAUCAAAUUUGGGUUUGACCACAGGGUACUAGAUCAUAUCAAUACCUGGGUUGCUUUUGCUAUAUCAUCGCGGACAAAGAGCCUUGCCCUUGAUUUAGGACCAGUCGACAUCCAAGGUCGUAUUGAUCAGUACAGAUUUCCGGUCGAGCCUUUAGACAACAGAAGCAUAUCCCGGCUUCGUCAUCUUCAACUUAGCGUUGCAUCAUUUGAACUACCCCCUCAAUUCAGCGGUUUCCCGAAUCUGAGAGCACAUGACUUGCACUUGGUAAAUGUCACUCGGAAGGAUCUUCAAGACAUGCUGUCAAAUUGCAUUAAUCUUGAGUGGUUCAGUAUGGUUAGAUGCCAUUUGAAUGAUGAACUGAUAGUAGCUCGUCCAUUGUCAAACCUGAUAUACCUGCGUGUUGCACACUUCAAGAUAACCAAGAUAGUACUCCAUGCGGUGGAACUCAAAACUUUCUUAUUCUAUGGACGUCUGUAUCCAAUCGACCUUGGGCAUACUCCCAAACUGAAGCACACAUUUCUUGAUAUCUAUUCCCUGUUAACUGUUGAGCAUGCUUUGACUGUGCUUCCCAAAGUGCUUCCAAGUGUUCAAGAUCUGACAUUGCAUGCUCAUUUUACUCUUAAGAUGCCUUUGUUGAUGGAAAUCCAUGCAAGUUUUCCCAGUUGA